Molecule: non-coding RNA, 100 nt
Organism: Tinamus guttatus (white-throated tinamou)
Lineage: Eukaryota; Metazoa; Chordata; Aves; Tinamiformes; Tinamidae
Source: RefSeq, a predicted model, not a curated record
AGUGGCUCAGCAGCUUGUAGAGCCCCUCCCGGGUGGUGAACUGGGUCUUAAUCUCGUUCAUCUCCUUCCCUCCUCCCUCCGCCGCCAUCUUGGAAAGUAG